ACAUAUGUGCUAACACGACUACA
RNAcentral lists this non-coding RNA (23 nucleotides) under Arabidopsis thaliana (thale cress). Lineage: Eukaryota; Viridiplantae; Streptophyta; Magnoliopsida; Brassicales; Brassicaceae. The record is from RNAcentral.